Molecule: ribosomal RNA, 496 nt
Filed under: uncultured bacterium
Lineage: Bacteria
Description: bacterial SSU rRNA
Rfam family: Bacterial small subunit ribosomal RNA
Source: RNAcentral
GAUGAACGCUAGCGGGAGGCCUAAUACAUGCAAGUCGAGCGGUAGAGUGACUUCGGUUGCUUGAGAGCGGCGAACGGGUGAGUAACGCGUACACAAUCUACCUUUAAGAGGGGAAUAGCCCUGGGAAACUGGGAUUAAUGCCCCAUGGCAUCACGAGACGGCAUCGUUUUGUGAUUAAAGCUGAGGUGCUUAGAGAUGAGUGUGCGUCUGAUUAGCUAGUUGGUGCGGUAACGGCGCACCAAGGCGACGAUCAGUAGGGGGCGUGAGAGCGUGGACCCCCACACGGGGUACUGAGACACGGACCCGACUCCUACGGGAGGCAGCAGUAAGGAAUAUUGGUCAAUGGAGGAAACUCUGAACCAGCCAUCCCGCGUGCAGGAAGAAUGCCCUAUGGGUUGUAAACUGCUUUUAUCUGGGAAGAAAAGUCGGGAUUUAUCCUGAUCUGACGGUACCAGAGGAAUAAGCACCGGCUAACUCCGUGCCAGCAGCCGUACGG